UUGUGUGUAGAUUGAGGGUGGGGGGAAAACUAUGUAAUCCAUUUUUGAAUAAGGCUGAAAUGUAACAAAAUCUGGAAAAAGUCAAGGGGUCUGAAUACUUUCCGAAAGCACCACAAGAUUGCAACACUAUGCAGCCACAAUGUGUGUUGUAAUCAGCAAGAAAUUAGUGUUCUACUGAGAAAAUAUUAUGCACGAGAUGGUGUAUACGAAAAUGUAAUACAGAUGUUGAUUCAUUAUAUAAAUGCAUUCACUGUUUUUCAGUAAAACAGACUCCAUCUGCAGCAUCUCCCACCACAACUGGAAAUGCAACAACGACAACCACAGCUGUCCCACAACAACCACAGCUGUCCCCACAACAACCACAGCUGCCAACACUACAACCACAGCUGCCAAAACCACAACCACAGCUGCCAACACUACAACCACAGCAACCAACACUACAACCACAGCUGCCAACACUACAACCACAGCUGCCCAAACCACAACCACAGCUGCCAACACUACAACCACAGCUGUCCCCACAGCAGCCACAAUUGCCAACACUACAUCCACAUCUGCCAAAACCACAACCACAGCUGCCAACAAUAUCACCACAGCUGCCAACACUACAACCACAGCUGUCCACAAAACAGCCACAGCUGUAACACUGCAACCACAGCUGCCCCCACAAAAACCACAGCCGCUCCAACUACAACACCCUCGCUCGCAUUUGUUUUGAACCUGGUAUUCAGAUCAGAUGAGGUUUUCAGUCCUGAUCUGACAAAUACCUCUUCACCUUUGUUCCAGAGUCUGGCAACGAAGACAAUUAAAGCGCUUGAGCCUCUGUUUAAGGCACAAUUCCCAAACUUCAUAAGACUGAUUGUGGUGGGUUUCAGGAAUGGUUCCAUCAUCACAGACACCCAGCUGGAGUUUUGCUGCCGCUAACACAACUGCUAAUGCGACCACACCUUUUGCUGAGGCUGUGGCUACUACUCUGAAGGCUGCGAUCACCAAUGGAAGUUUGAGUAUCAACAUCUCAGCCAAUUUCAAGAUUACUGUAAAACCGACUCCAUCCGCAGCAUCUCCCACCACAACUGGAAAUGAAACGACAACAACCACAGCUGUCAAAACCACAACAACAGCUGCCAACACUACAACCACAGCUGUCCCCA
Molecule: RNA transcript, 1151 nt
Organism: Oncorhynchus keta (chum salmon)
Lineage: Eukaryota; Metazoa; Chordata; Actinopteri; Salmoniformes; Salmonidae
Gene name: LIM domain-containing protein A-like
Exons: 4
Source: RefSeq, a predicted model, not a curated record